AUGGCCCAACACAUCUGCAAGGAUACAAAUGUGAAGAAUCACUUUGGUGCCAAAAAUAUAAUUUGGACAUGUGUUUCAGAUGACUUUGACAUAAAACGGUUAACGAAAGACAUUGUAGAGCGCCUGGGAGGAGAUGCUUCAUCUAAUAGUCUGGAAGUUCUUAUGGGUAAAUUAGAAGGCUGCGUCAAGUCCAAAAAGUUCUUACUUGUCCUUGAUGACAUGUGGGAUGAUAUCUUGAAGGAUGAUGGGGUGGAAUGGAAGAGGUUUUGUGCGCCUUUGAAAAAUGGCGUCGAAGGAAGUAGGAUUUUGGUCACCACUAGAUCUCCCGAGGUUGCUAAGCUAGUUGGCCCUAUGAAUAAUUAUGAGUUAAAGGGCUUAAAAGACGGUGUAUUCUUGGAGUUCUUCAAAUUCUGUGCAUUUGGAUCCAAGACUUUGGGCAACAACAGGGAGUCGUUGGAGCGCAUUGGUGAAAUAAUUGUUCGAAAGUUGAAGGGUUCCCCAUUGGCUGCCAAGACUAUUGGACGCUUGCUGAGAAUGGAUCUAAAAAGCAUCACCACAUAG
Molecule: ribosomal RNA, 561 nt
Filed under: Triticum aestivum (bread wheat)
Lineage: Eukaryota; Viridiplantae; Streptophyta; Magnoliopsida; Poales; Poaceae
Description: partial small subunit ribosomal RNA
Source: RNAcentral